This 688-nucleotide ribosomal RNA is filed under the name uncultured bacterium. Its description in RNAcentral is "bacterial SSU rRNA". It matches the Rfam family "Bacterial small subunit ribosomal RNA", at positions 804 to 1502 of the family's 1533-position model. The record is from RNAcentral.
AAACGAUGAUUACUAGGAGUUUGCGAUAUACCGUCAAGCUUCCACAGCGAAAGCGUUAAGUAAUCCACCUGGGGAGUACGCCGGCAACGGUGAAACUCAAAGGAAUUGGCGGGGGCCCGCACAAGCGGAGGAACAUGUGGUUUAAUUCGAUGAUACGCGAGGAACCUUACCCGGGAUUGAAAUGUAGAUGACGGAUGGUGAAAACCGUCUUCCCUUCGGGGCUUCUAUGUAGGUGCUGCAUGGUUGUCGUCAGCUCGUGCCGUGAGGUGUCGGCUUAAGUGCCAUAACGAGCGCAACCCACAUCGGUAGUUGCUAACAGUUUUCGCUGAGGACUCUACCGAGACUGCCGUCGUAAGGCGCGAGGAAGGUGUGGAUGACGUCAAAUCAGCACGGCCCUUACAUCCGGGGCGACACACGUGUUACAAUGGGAGGGACAAAGGGCAGCUACCGGGCGACCGGAUGCGAAUCUCUAAACCCUUCCCCAGUUCGGAUCGGAGUCUGCAACUCGACUCCGUGAAGCUGGAUUCGCUAGUAAUCGCGCAUCAGCCACGGCGCGGUGAAUACGUUCCCGGGCCUUGUACACACCGCCCGUCAAGCCAUGGGAGUCGGGGGUACCUGAAGGGCGUAACCGCAAGGGGCGCACUAGGGUAAUACCGGUGGCUGGGGGUAAGUCGUAACAAGGUAGCCG